This 433-nucleotide ribosomal RNA is filed under the name uncultured bacterium. RNAcentral describes it as "partial 16S ribosomal RNA". It matches the Rfam family "Bacterial small subunit ribosomal RNA", at positions 29 to 507 of the family's 1533-position model. The record is from RNAcentral.
AACGAACGCUGGCGGCAUGCCUAACACAUGCAAGUCGAACGAAGCCUUCGGGCUUAGUGGCGCACGGGUGCGUAACGCGUGGGAAUCUGCCCCUUGCUUCGGAAUAACAGUUAGAAAUGACUGCUAAUACCGGAUGAAGUCUUCGGACCAAAGAUUUAUCGGCAAGGGAUGAGCCCGCGUAGGAUUAGGUAGUUGGUGGGGUAAAGGCCUACCAAGCCGACGAUCCUUAGCUGGUCUGAGAGGAUGAUCAGCCACACUGGGACUGAGACACGGCCCAGACUCCUACGGGAGGCAGCAGUAGGGAAUAUUGGAAAAUGGACGCAAGUCUGAACCAGCAAUGCCGCGUGAGUGAUGAAGGCCUUAGGGUUGUAAAGCUCUUUUACCAGGGAUGAUAAUGACAGUACCUGGAGAAUAAGCUCCGGCUAACUCCGUG